UUGAUUUGCAUGCACACACUAGAUCUAUGGAGAGGAUGAAGAAAAUUACAGAGAAAGUUCUUGAGAGAGAUAAGUGAGAAUGAAUUACGUGGUAAUACCCGUGAGUAAAUUCCACAGCGGACGGGCUAUUUAUAUUAAUGACGGGCUAUUAAUAUAUAACAGUACGUCAAAUAUUAAUCAGGCUCCACAACCUAACACUACCUAGUCCCACUUGUGGGAUUUCACUGGGUAUGUUGUCGUUAUUGUU
This 247-nucleotide long non-coding RNA is filed under the name Capsicum annuum. RNAcentral describes it as "long non-coding RNA (CANN_LNC012063)". The record is from RNAcentral. Lineage: Eukaryota; Viridiplantae; Streptophyta; Magnoliopsida; Solanales; Solanaceae.